This 401-nucleotide long non-coding RNA is filed under the name Elaeis guineensis (African oil palm). RNAcentral describes it as "long non-coding RNA (EGUI_LNC040608)". The record is from RNAcentral. Lineage: Eukaryota; Viridiplantae; Streptophyta; Magnoliopsida; Arecales; Arecaceae.
GAGCCUAGCCCGAAUGGAUUCGGACUGGCCCAGAUCAUUUGUAAUUGGUCGGGCCCAAGCCCGAGUCCGGCCCAAAUCCACCUCUACGUCUUGUUAUUUAUGCAUCCACUGUGCCUGCUAUUGUUACAGUCUUAUUUGAACAUUUUUGCAUGGAAAAACACAGUGAACAAUUUUUUUUGGUAAAGAAGGAUAUUACCAUAUUAUUAAGAAAUAGUAAAGCUGUACAUGAUAUAGAGACUGAAAAAAAGGCCUAGAGAUCGAGGUGAUUGCUUCAGUCAUGGAAGAUCAGUCAGAGGUCUAGCCGGUGCAGAUUGGAUAGUUGAUGGUUUACUUAUUGGAUCUGCCAGUUGUGGGAUCGUCAUAUCAUAAGGAGGUGGAGCACGGAGGAUUUGUGUGCCCAC